This is a long non-coding RNA of Loxodonta africana (African savanna elephant), 6472 nucleotides long. RefSeq lists it as uncharacterized. The record is from RefSeq and is a predicted model, not a curated record. The transcript is spliced from 3 exons. Lineage: Eukaryota; Metazoa; Chordata; Mammalia; Proboscidea; Elephantidae.
UAACCUAGGAAGGCCUUUGAAAUGUGUUUGAUCAGCACAGAAAGAAUCAGACUACCUAAAAACCAGAAAUGCAAAGAAAGUCACAAGACAUCGAGUAAAUGGCAAAGUGUCAAGAACAUAAUGCAGCUACAACUAAGAAUUAGAUGGAGAAUACAAGUUAUCUAAAAGCCGGUUUCCAAGACCUUUUCCAAUGAAAUAUUAGUACACGUAAAAGUUCUUCAGACUAAGCCUGACUUGCAGAAGCCCUCUAUCGGGUGCUUCUAGUAGGCUGUGACCAACUUUGUGUUUCCCACAAUAGCGCUAAACCACUGUGACGCAUCCUGCGGAUAAAACUGGACAUGUGGCACUUAAUACACCAAACCAGAAUCACCUACAGUGUCAGUUAGCUCAAGAGCCUUCCCAUCACUAUGUGAGGGCCCCUCCAGAGGGUAUCUGCAUUCCGUGUGAGGUUCAGAGAGAACAGAUGCUACCUGUGUACACACAGUGGUCUGCCUGCACACCGCAAGGACCGAGAUGCGCCUUGCAGGCUCAGGAAGUUGACUAGCCAGGAGAAAGCUUCAUGCCCUCUAUGAAAGGGAGCGUGUGGUUGGCAGAACCAGAAGUAAACAUGGAAAAUUCAUUCAAGAAUUUCCUGACGGCCUACUGUGCUGACGUUGGAGGCAAGUUAAGACGCUGGGAAGCAGAUUCCAAGGAGGAACUCCAAGGUCCCUGAAUCCCAAGAGGAGAAGGCAGCAGCGGCCUUGAGAUGGACCUGAGCUACUGAAACCUGAUAUUCACCAGUAUCAACUUCGAGAGUUCAGCCAGAUACCGAGCAGGACAACCGUCGGUUUCCUGUGAUGCUGGGAUCAGAUGAAGGCCUCUAGGAAGCCCAUACAUAGACCACAGUGGAUGGAAGAAUCUGGAUCACAGCUUGGGUCAGAGACAGUAAGUCUUAAACUUUAUAUAGUUAAGGGGAAAGAAGGGUGUCAAGUGGCCAUGGAAAUUUUUAUUUCCAUUAUAAAGGUAAUACUUGUUCAUUAAGGAAAAUGAAGAAAAUUUGGAAAACUAAAAAGCAGAAAUAAAAAACCAAAGAUAAAUACUGUUGACACUUUUUUGGUGUUUGCUAUACAGUAUAUGUGUGUGUGUGUAUACACACACAUAUAUGUAAUUGUGAACAUAAAAUAUAUAUUAUUUAGUAUAGUUAAGGAGCUCAAGUAUAUUUGCCUGUAUCUUCUACCUGGGUCCCAGAUAGUGCCUUGAAUUUUUUUUCUAAAUAUUUUAGUAUAAUAACUAAAGGAUGGACUGGUUGCUGAGUGCAGUUUCCUCCAGCACGGCUAAGCAGUGGUUUCUUGGUGGCUGAUAGAGAAGCCUUUUAUACCUCAGACCAUAACAGCUCUUAGCCUCCCUCUCCCAUUUCCCCAGCUUCCAAGGAAAACCAGGAAGGCUUUUUUCAGUCCUAAAUUAGAUCUCUAAUCCCCGCUAUGUGCCAGAAAGAAAAGAGAGAACUCUAUCCCUAUCAGUUGACUUGACCGGUUAAAAAAAAAAAAACAAACUGUUGCCGUCGAGUCGAUUUCGACUCAUAGUGAUCCUAUACUACAGGAGAGAGUAGAACUGCCCCGUACAGUUUCCAAGGAGUGCCUGGUGGAUUUUAACUGCUGACCUUUUGGUUGGCACCUGUAGCACUUAACCACUAUGCUACCAGGGUUUCCAGUUGACUUGACAUGUGUAUAAAUAGUAUAUUGUAGGCUUCAGUAGCCUUUGAGUACAAAUUAGGCCACAAAAAAGUUUAAUGCCUAAAUUGCAAUAAUUCUAAGCAUCCACUCACUUUAUUGUUGAAUCUCAGUUCCUCCCCCAUCUCGCCAUGGUGCGUUCUAAUUAUUUAAGCACUUCCCAAAGGGAUGUCUUAACUAUGGCUCACAAACCAGUCUGUCACCUAUAGUCAACCCACAGCAUCCUCUAUACUCUCGCUUCUCUCCUUUCCUGACAACCCUGGUUAAUGCCCAUUGCCUUUGAGGAUGCUUGAGGGAACCUUACUAUGAUCCCACUGAUGCUGUCUUUUAAGAAAGGGCUGAUGUCUGUGUCAUGGAUGCUGUUUGUGGUUGAUCCUGAAGCCACGGUGUCCUAAGGUUCCAGAGCUGGGCACCAUGAAAAGGAGAAGUUGCCUCUGACUCUACUCCGCAAACUCCAUAUACAUAUUGAAGCACUAUUUGUGUCCAAGGUCUUGAAAAGUCUUUGUAAAAGCAGCUUUUCACCUUCAGGCCUUUAGGAAUGAAUAGCUUUUCAACUACUCCAAGGAAGAAAGAGCAUGUACCUCCACAAGAGUUUGACAGACGAGACUGAGCUUGGUCUCAGUCCCCAAAGCAGUGUUUUCGAAUCUUGAAGAGUAUGAACCUUGGUUAGUUAGUUAAGGAUGGACUAUGCAGUGGUAGUAGCACACAAACCAUGAGAUCUUAGUGUUUUAACACAUAAAAGUUUUUUUUUUUGCUCACACAAAGUCCACUGGCGGCUCACGGCUCUCCAGGGCAGCUUCUUUAACAGUGCCUCAGAGAUCCAGGCUGAUUCCACCUGGGGACUCCACUAUCUCAACACAUGACCCCUAAGAUCAUCACAGCAGGGGAAGAGAGAGCAUGUGGCCUUGCACCUACCCUCCUAUACUCUGGCCUAGGAGCCACCUGGUCUUGCCUAACCACAAGGCAGGCUGGAAGAGUCAAGAGAGCACAUAGAUAUUUGGGGAACUUUAAAUAUCUCUGCCACGGGACCCUUCUUAUACACACCCAAGAAUUCAGAAAUCCCAAGAAUGAGAAAUGACUGCUUUACAAAACUGAGCUUUACUUAUGAAAAUGUCUUUAUCACUGUAGAAAUGUUAAUUAUAACUACAAAAGGUAAAUUUUACCGGUAGACUUUUUAAAAAAAGGAAAUAAGAAAUGUGACAUUAGACAGCAGUGAGCCCUAGCUGCUACUUACUAGAUAAUUCAGGUAAUACCUCAUCUGCUUCAAUCUUUACUGGAGCAUAAUGAGAAUAAAAGGAGGCUGAAUAACAGUAUGAUGGCAACUAUAUUAAAACAGAAACAAUCUCUAUGUUGAAAAAGAUGGAAAUUCACCAACACUGCACAUAGGCCUAUCAUUCAGUAAGUAAUGAAUACAUAUUUGUUUGAAAGAACAAAAGUGUGAAUAAUUGAAAAUGCAAAAAUAUUAAUGGCAGUUCACUUUGGGUGGUGCAACUAUAGGAGAUUUUUUUUUAAUGUUUUUCAAAAUUUCUAGAACAAGCCCAUAUUACUUUCAAAGGGAAGAAAAGCCCCUCUGUUUUUAAAUAUUAUUAAAAAGAAGCAACAGAUAAAGUACUUUGAAAAUAAGCAUAUUAUACAAAUAUAAGCUUGCAUUUAAAACUAAAUAUAUUCAGGUUUGUCACAAAUUCCACUUAAUGUUUUUAUAAAAAAAAUAUUUUUAUAGGCUCUUGUGAACGCUUCUCUUCUAGGUUACUUGUUGUUUAUUUAAUUGGGAAAAAUUGGUAUUUAAAAUUAUCUACCAUGAAUUUGGGGCAUUGAAAAACCUACCAGUAGGAAUUCCAUGGGAAACUCGAUGGGAUACCGAUUAAAAGAAAUUUUGAUACAUUUGUUGAUUCUCAGAGCGACUACAGCAGUUAGAAAUAGUAGGAUGCUGGUGGAAUUAGCUUUUGGUAGAGAUAGACAGUAGUUAAUUAUGUUCUGAAAGAAAACAAAAUUACAGAGGUUGAGCAAGGGACAUAAUUGCCUAAAUUUAGAAAAUGAUAUUCUUUCUAGAUUAGCUCAAAAAGAAGUCCUUAGGCAGGGUUGCUGGCCACAAAGGUCUGUACAAGCAUGACUACAAUAGUGAGGGCAAGCACUCCUGGAGAAAAUACGUUUUUUUAAAAGCUGAAAAAGAGACAGCGAUGUUCAAUAAGGACAGAAUACACUUUAUGUGUUUCAGUAUAACGGAAAUGACCUGGGAGUUCUGCUUGUUAGCCUAUUCAUCGUUAAUUUUCCUAGGCCAUGUUUGUUAUACGGAGUCCCCGGGUGAUGUAAACUGUUAAUGUGUUUGGCUGCUAACCAAGAGGUUGGAGUUUUGAGUUUACCUAGAGGUACCCUGGAAGAAAGGCCUGGUGAUCUACUGAGAAAUCAGCUAUUGAAAACCCCAAGUAGCACAGUUCUACUCUGGCACACAUAGGGUCACCAUGAACCAAAAUCUAGCUUAGCUCCUACCUCAUUUUUGCAUUCAUGGACUUCUUAGUAUUAUAUAUUCUUUCGCUGUUUUAGGAUACGUGCUGAUUACAUAGCAUGUAUUGGGAAGAAUUAUGAUAGAUACAGUAUGUUAAAGACCAAAUUCUUAUUGUGGUAAAAUAACAGUAAAACUUGUGAAAGCUGGAACACGUGGAAGGCGAAAACCUGCCAGAGAAGGAAAACAAAUAUUUUCCACUAAUAGAGGGCAAUACAAAAGUGGUAAGACUGUACCCUGUCAAAGGUGGAAAUUUUUCGAGACCCGGAAAAACAAGGUGGUUCCAUCAAGCUCCAGUUCUUACAGGUUUCACUGAAUAUAACAAGAUGUUUGCCAAGUAAUUAUUUUUGAGUGACAUUAGUUACAUUUGCCAUUUUAAAGAACAAAUUUUAAUGUAAAUCAUGUUAGUUAAAAUGGUGGGCUUGAAAUGGUUAAUGCAGCUGAGAGCAUGGUCCAACCGGCAUCUGCAAUUAACCAAGACCCCAAAUGUAGCAGAGAAGAAAUUAUUUCUAGAACCCUCUUAACACAGCUACUAUGGGCUGUGUCACCUUUUGGGAAUGGGCAAGUAUCUUUCCCCUUGGGUCCACUCCCCUUUGGAGACAAGGGGAAGGACAUUUGUAAUUUUUGGUGAGAGCUGAAAUUACUCACAUAAAAGAAGGCGACUGGACCAGCGUGGAAACUAAUCACAAUCCCGAGGAUGCAAGUCAGCUGGGACAGCAUGAUGUGUAGUGCCGUGGCAGCCAGGUAAGCAUUGAUGACAGACUCCGGAAGGUAAGUAGCAAUGAAACCAAAACCUAACACGCCCAUUGAUAGCUGAGGAAGUUCAAAUUGAAAUCAGAGUGAAAAUGUAACAGAAUGUCAUCAAACCAGCAGUGGCAAAGAUUAGGCUCCCUUCAGGGGCCCAAGGCCCUUUCUCAGAAAGAGGAGUUUCCAACAAAAAUUAAGUUUAGGCCCUUUUGAUAACUCUUCUGUGUUUCUUUCUCGAGUGAGCUACAAUUGAUGAGAUAAGGGGAGUCCUUGUGUGCUGAUUCAGAGGCUCAGAACAAGCAUUCCUUCCUUUUUUCUUCAGCUAGCUUAAAUUCUUGCCCUAGAAUCUACUAGAAUCUGUUCUAGGUUGACAUGGGGAAGCAAAGACAAGGUGAUCAGAACAAGCCUUUGCCUUUGUAAAGGCCCUUUUCUUCUAACUUCCAUAGUCCUUCUCAGGAGACAUUACAUCUCUGUGAGGAAUACAGCUUUCCACAGGGGAAAAAAGAAGUCAACAAAACUGGGCUCCAGCUCAACCUUCUUGGCUUUGACUCGUAUCUUUGCUAAAAUAGUUAAACUGAAUGUAUUUAUGUCUUCAAGUUUAUAUAUAUCCUGAAAGCAUAAAUAAAUACAUUUUGUGGAUCACAAUGGUCUGAUCUACAACCUUCCGUUGUGCAUUAGUGUCGCCGUAAGUCAGGCACUGACUCAACAGCAGUUAAUAACAACAGGAACAACACACACACCCUCCCCUGCAAAUAAUCUGAAAGGAUACACACCAGACUAUCUGUUAACAAAAGUUACCUUUGGGGAAUACUAUUAAAGGUUGGGAUGACACUUUGUACUUUAUAUACUUUUUAAUUUUUUGAGAUUUUUUGCAAUAUACGCAUCUAUCUUUUAUAAUAAAAAUGCAAUUAGAAAACUGAUGGAGAAUGGUUAAGCCCCAGUCCCCUUAAAAGGGUAGGUUAAGAAAACUGGGACAGCCCUAUGAAGACUAUUCAUAAGAGGGGAAGAGAAGAAUAAAAUGAAAAUCUUGAAGACUACUAUUGUCACCACUUCAUCCUCCAUUGCUUUAGACGCUCUUAGAAAACAAACAAACUUGGAACGAUGAAUCUUUUGAUCUGUUUUAAAGCUUUUCAUCAUCUGGGCACUGCAUCUCCCUUAAUCUAUCAUUACUGCCCAAUAUGCCCCUUACUCUAGUCAAGCUGAUCUGCUUCAUGUCUUCUAUGUGACUGGCCGAUCCUAUUGCUGUGCUGCUUUUUUUGCCAUUUCUGCCAAUCCAAUGCUCCUUUAUGAAGUGUGGAGGAAAAAGUAUUCCUGGACUUAGAGAAUCCGGCUUUAAUCCUGGCCCUGCUACUCACUGGCUGUGUGAGUUUGGACAAGUUACUCAAAUUCUCUGAGCCUCAGUUUCCUCAUCUAUAAAAUGUGAAUAAUAAUCAACACAGUGUUUGAUAUGGACUAAAUUACAUAAAACAAAAACAAACCCACUGCCCUCCGAUUCACAGCGACUCUAUAGGACAGA